Molecule: transfer RNA, 72 nt
Filed under: Camelus bactrianus (Bactrian camel)
Lineage: Eukaryota; Metazoa; Chordata; Mammalia; Artiodactyla; Camelidae
Also listed under: 2 other names
Rfam family: tRNA
About the family: Transfer RNA (tRNA) molecules are approximately 80 nucleotides in length. Their secondary structure includes four short double-helical elements and three loops (D, anti-codon, and T loops).
Source: Rfam by way of RNAcentral
AAAGGCAUAGCUCAGUGGUAGAGCACAUGCCUAGCAUGCACAAGGUCCUGGGUUCAGUCCCCAGCACCUCCA